GUGGUUGUGGCUCAGAGGUAGAGCACUCACCUAGCAUGUGUGAGGCACUGGGUUGGAUCCUCAGCACCACA
RNAcentral lists this transfer RNA (71 nucleotides) under Ictidomys tridecemlineatus (thirteen-lined ground squirrel). RNAcentral describes it as "Spermophilus tridecemlineatus (thirteen-lined ground squirrel) tRNA". It matches the Rfam family "tRNA". From Rfam's summary of the family: Transfer RNA (tRNA) molecules are approximately 80 nucleotides in length. The record is from Rfam by way of RNAcentral. Lineage: Eukaryota; Metazoa; Chordata; Mammalia; Rodentia; Sciuridae.